CUAGACUCCUGUGCCUCAUUUUCUUUUUAAAAAAUUGUUUAAUGUUUUUAUUUAUUUUUUGAGAGAGAGAGAGAGGCAGAAUAUGAGCAGGGGAGGGGCAGAGAGAGAGAAAGAGACCCAGAAUGUGAAGCAGGCUCCAGGCUCCGAGCUGUCAGCACAGAGCCCAACGCGGGGCUCGAACCCACAGACUGCGAGAUCAUGACCUGAGCCAAAGUCGGACACUCAGCCGACUGAGCCACCCAGGCGCCCCUCCUGUGCCUCGUUUUCACCUCUGUGCCAGAGCUUCCUGCCUACCUGUGUGUCCCAACAGGCCUCCCUGUCCUCACCUUUCAAGUGGAGGUGACCACAGUACCUGCCUCAUGGCACAGCUGCACAGGACUCGGUGAGGCAGCCAUUUUCAGUGGACCGUGUUAAGUGGCCAUCAUCCCUUGCUGCCCUCACCCGCUACGGAGCCGUCAGGGGGCGGGGAGGGGGACCGACUCCAGCUGGGCACGGAUGGGUCUACACCAUGCAUAGUAUGGCGCAGCCAACGGGAAGGAUGGGGGACACAUAGCAUCAUCACACUGGGAGAUCAAUAUGACGUCUCAACCCAAGAGGGCAGAUGCUCUCCUUGCCGAAAUAAUAAACCUGAGAAACAGAUGAUGUCGCUUGAUCUGUGACCAACCAGGCCUGCUCACUCCUUGAAGGUUAACAGAAUAAAAUGACUGGAAAUUAGUCUGGCCUAAUACACACUGUCAAAUAGCAGGGAAAUCCUACGAGGACAGUGAAAAAAAAAAUACUUCUGCAGCCUUGCCAUUUGAUGCCACACUGCAGAGCGAUCCCCUGUGAAAUGACUUCCGUCCAGGGCCACAAAACAAAACCAUCUAACCUUCCUUAUCACACCUUCCACCUUACGAGACGUUGGUUGUAAAUCUCCUUCAGGGCCUAUAUUUGCUGCUGUUGGCACGCCUUAACAGGAUAAACCGUAGAGGGGAAAUCCGAUCGGCAGGUAUUGCACAGCCGAGGGCCGCCGGGCCGCGCACUUGUCACACGCAUCUCGUGGCCUCCCCACACCACAUCAUCCGCACGGUACACGCACAACGGAGGCUGCAUUUCAGCUGCUUCCAAUUAGCGGACUGUGUCUAGCACAACUGUGUCUAGCACAGCCACGCUUUUUGUAAAUGGCUGGGAGUUAGGCCAGAAGUCAGACUUCUCGAAUUCCAUUUCCUUCUCUAAGAUACAAACGUCUUCACGGAUGUGGGAAGCUGCGUUUGUUUCUCCCUUUUCUCCCGCUUCACAACGGGGACGCGGUGGUGUGCGUGGGGGGAGGAUGAGACCAGCAGCCCCCGCCCCCGUGGCGUGGAAUUGGUAAAGACCAGUUUCAUUUAGUCUCAUGGCCUUUGGUUCCGAGUCUUCCCCGAGCAGACCUCCGGGGAUCUCUGGUUGUGCUCCCACACUUGGGCCUGUGUUUUUAAACUUGAGUCCCAGUUAUAAUUUUAGGUCGAAACAGGAGAAAUUAGUGACCGUUGAGC
Neofelis nebulosa (Clouded leopard) is the source of this 1511-nucleotide long non-coding RNA. RefSeq lists it as uncharacterized. The transcript has 5 exons. Lineage: Eukaryota; Metazoa; Chordata; Mammalia; Carnivora; Felidae. The record is from RefSeq and is a predicted model, not a curated record.